Molecule: ribosomal RNA, 119 nt
Filed under: Neolamprologus brichardi
Lineage: Eukaryota; Metazoa; Chordata; Actinopteri; Cichliformes; Cichlidae
Source: RNAcentral
GCUUACGGCCAUACCACCCUGAGCACUCCCUAUCUCGUCUGAUUUCGCAAGCUAAGCAAGGUUGGGCUUGGUUAGUGCUCGGAUGGGAGACUGCCUGGGAAUAACAGGUGUUGUAAGCC